GACGAACGCUGGCGGCGUGCUUAACACAUGCAAGUCGAACGAUGAAACCUAGCUUGCUAGGUCGAUUAGUGGCGAACGGGUGAGUAACACGUGACUAACCUGCACCUUUCUCUGGGAUAACGCUCCGAAAGGAGUGCUAAUACCGGAUACUCACAUCGAGGCACAUGCCUUGGUGUGGAAAGUUUUUCGGAAAGGGAUGGAGUCGCGGCCUAUCAGCUUGUUGGUGAGGUAACGGCUCACCAAGGCGACGACGGGUAGCCGGACUGAGAGGGGGAACGGGCACACUGGGACUGAGACACGGCCCAGACUCCUACGGGAGGCAGCAGUGGGGAAUAUUGCACAAUGGGCGCAAGCCUGAUGCAGCGACGCCGCGUGAGGGAUGAAGGUCUUCGGAUUGUAAACCUCUUUCAGUAGGGACGAAGCGAAAGUGACGGUACCUAAAGAAGAAGCACCGGCUAACUACGUGCCAGCCGCCGCCGUAA
This 482-nucleotide ribosomal RNA is filed under the name uncultured bacterium. RNAcentral describes it as "partial 16S ribosomal RNA". It matches the Rfam family "Bacterial small subunit ribosomal RNA", at positions 28 to 523 of the family's 1533-position model. The record is from RNAcentral.